This 3144-nucleotide ribosomal RNA is filed under the name Fusobacterium hwasookii ChDC F206. RNAcentral's name for it is "bacterial LSU rRNA". It matches the Rfam family "Bacterial large subunit ribosomal RNA". Lineage: Bacteria; Fusobacteriati; Fusobacteriota; Fusobacteriia; Fusobacteriales; Fusobacteriaceae. The record is from RNAcentral.
AAAUAGAUUAAAAUAAUUAAGGGCACACAAAGGAUGCCUUGGUAGUAAGAGCCGAUGAAGGACGUGGUAAGCUGCGACAAGCCUAGAUAAGUUGCAAUCGAACGUAAGAGUCUAGGAUUUCCGAAUGGAGCAAUCUAUUAAGAUGGAGUAUUAAUACGAAAGAGGGAACCGCGUGAACUGAAACAUCUAAGUAACGCGAGGAAAAGAAAGUAAAAACGAUACCCAAAGUAGCGGCGAGCGAAACGGGUCAAGCCUAAACCUUAAAUAUGUCAAGGAUACAGCCGUUGUAUUUAAGGGGUUGAGGGACAGAGUGAUGAAGAACUGUAAGAUAUUCAAUAUAGUGUAUUGAUGAACUAGAAUAGUCUGGAAAGGUUAACCGUAGAAGGUGAAAGUCCUGUAUAGGUAAAUCCUUACACAUAUAACUUUGAUCCCAAGUAACAUGGAACACGAGGAAUUCUGUGUGAAUCAGUGAGGACCAUAUCUCAUAAGGCUAAAUACUCUUACUAACCGAUAGCGCAUAGUACCGUGAGGGAAAGGUGAAAAGAACCCCUGGAGGGGAGUGAAAUAGAACCUGAAAUUGUGUGCUUACAAGCGGUCAGAGCCAGUAAUGGUGAUGGCGUGCCUUUUGGAGAAUGAUCCUGCGAGUUACGUUAAACGGCAAGGUUAAGUAUUACGGAGCAGAAGGGAAACCAAGUCUUAAUAGGGCGAUUUAGUCGUUUGGCGUAGACGCGAAACCUGGUGAUCUAAACCUGUCCAGGAUGAAGCUGUGGUAAGACACAGUGGAGGUCCUAACCCACCGCCGUUGAAAAGUUGGGGGAUGAGGUAGGUUUAGGGGUGAAAAGCCAAUCGAACCAGGAGAUAGCUCCUUCUCUCCGAAAUGCAUCUAGGUGCAGCCUUGAGUCUUCAAUUAUGGGGGUAGAGCACUGAAUGAUCUAGGGGGCAUAUUGCUUACUGAAAUCAAUCAAACUCCGAAUACCAUAAUUUAUAGCUCAGGAGUGAGACUAUGGGAGUUAACUUCCAUUGUCAAAAGGGAAACAACCCAGACCACCAGCUAAGGUCCCUAAUUAUAACUAAGUGGGAAAGGAGGUGGAGAUUCACAAACAACUAGGAGGUUGGCUUAGAAGCAGCCAUACCUUUAAAGAGUGCGUAAUAGCUCACUAGUCGAGAGUCUCUGCGCCGACAAUGUAACGGGGCUAAGUUAUAAACCGAAGCUGUGGAAUCCGUAAGGAUUGGUACGAGAGCGUUCUGCAGGCCGUUGAAGGAGAAGGGUAACCGACUUUGGAGGUAUCAGAAGUGAGAAUGCAGGAAUAAGUAGCGAGAAAGGGGGCGAGAAUCCCCCUCGCCGGAAGACCAAGGUUUUCAGGGUAAAGCUUGUCUUCCCUGAGUAAGCCGGGACCUAAGCCCAGGCUAUAAUGCGUAGGCGAAUGGAAAACAGAUUAAUAUUUCUGUGCCAGUCAUAUAUUGUGAUGGAGGGACGCAGAAGGGUAUGCGCGCGGACGAACGGAAGUGUCCGUAGAAGUAUGUAGGAUGACUUAGUAGGAAAAUCCAUUAAGUUAUAUCUGAGGUAUGAUAUAUAGUCGUAAGAUGAAUGCGCAAAUCCCACGCUGCCAAGAAAAGCUUCUAACGUUAAUUUAUGACUGCCCGUACUGCAAACCGACACAGGGGGUCAGGAUGAGAAAUCUAAGGCGGACAGGCUAACUCUCGUUAAGGAACUCUGCAAAAUAACCUCGUAACUUCGGGAGAAGAGGAGCCCUUGGGUGUUAGUAUCCAGGUAUGAUAUAUAGUGGUAAGAUGAAUGCGCAAAUCCCACGCUGCCAAGAAAAGCUUCUAAUGUUAAUUUAUGACUGCCCGUACUGCAAACCGGCACAGGUGGUCAGGAUGAGAAAUCUAAGGCGUACAGGCUAACUCUCGUUAAGGAACUCUGCAAAAUAACCUCGUAACUUCGGGAGAAGAGGAGCCCUUGGGUGUUAGUAUCCAUGCGAUACAAAGCGCUCGAGGGUCGCAGUGAAGAGGCUCAAGCAACUGUUUAACAAAAACACAGGUCUAUGCUAAGCUGGAAGGCGAUGUAUAUGGGCUGACACCUGCCCAGUGCUGGAAGGUUAAGAGGAGGAGUGAGAGCUCCGAAUUGAAGCCCCAGUGAACGGCGGCCGUAACUAUAACGGUCCUAAGGUAGCGAAAUUCCUUGUCGGGUAAGUUCCGACCUGCACGAAUGGUGUAAUGAUUUGAGCGCUGUCUUGACGGGAGGCCUGGUGAAGUUGUAUUACCGGUGAAGAUACCGGUUACCUACAGUAGGACGGAAAGACCCCAUGGAGCUUUACUGUAGCUUGGUAUUGGGUUUUGGCAUUGCAUGUAUAGGAUAGUUGGGAGACUGAGAUGAUAUGGCGCUAGCUGUAUCGGAGUCAUCGGUGGAAUACCAACCAUUCAAUGCUGAAAUUCUAAUCUGUGGUUUGUAGCCACGGAGACAGUGCUAGGUGGGCAGUUUGACUGGGGCGGUCGCCUCCGAAAGAGUAACGGAGGCGUUCAAAGGUUCUCUCAGGUUGGAUGGAAAUCAACCAUAGAGUGCAAUGGCAUAAGAGAGCUUGACUGCAAGACUGACGGGUCGAUCAGAUGCGAAAGCAGGACAUAGUGAUCCGGCGAUUCCGAAUGGAAGGGUCGUCGCUCAACGGAUAAAAGCUACCCUGGGGAUAACAGGCUGAUCCUACCCGAGAGUCCAUAUCGACGGUAGGGUUUGGCACCUCGAUGUCGGCUCAUCGCAUCCUGGGGCUGGAGAAGGUCCCAAGGGUUGGGCUGUUCGCCCAUUAAAGCGGUACGUGAGCUGGGUUCAGAACGUCGUGAGACAGUUCGGUCCCUAUCCACUGUAGGCGUUAGAAUAUUGAGAAGACCUGUCCUUAGUACGAGAGGACCGGGAUGGACAAACCUCUGAUGUACCAGUUGUCACGCCAGUGGCACAGCUGGGUAGUCACGUUUGGAAUAGAUAACCGCUGAAAGCAUCUAAGCGGGAAACUAACUUCAAGAUAAGUAUUCUUUAAGAUACCUUCGAGCCUAGGAGGUUAAUAGGUUGGGGGUGUAAGUACAGCAAUGUAUUUAGCUGACCAAUACUAAUUAUCGAAGUUUUAAUCUAAUUUGUUUUUACUAUAUAGUUUC